CCUACGGGGGGCAGCAGUGAGGAAUAUUGGUCAAUGGACGAGAGUCUGAACCAGCCAAGUAGCGUGAAGGAUGACGGCCCUAUGGGUUGUAAACUUCUUUUAUAUGGGAAUAAAAUGUUCCACGUGUGGGAUUUUGUAUGUACCAUAUGAAUAAGGAUCGGCUAACUCCGUGCCAGCAGCCGCGGUAAUACGGAGGAUCCGAGCGUUAUCCGGAUUUAUUGGGUUUAAAGGGAGCGUAGGUGGAUUGUUAAGUCAGUUGUGAAAGUUUGCGGCUCAACCGUAAAAUUGCAGUUGAAACUGGCAGUCUUGAGUACAGUAGAGGUAGGCGGAAUUCGUGGUGUAGCGGUGAAAUGCUUAGAUAUCACGAAGAACUCCGAUUGCGAAGGCAGUUCACUGGACUGCAACUGACACUGAGGCUCGAAAGUGUGGGUAUCAAACAGGAUUAGAUACCCGAGUAGUC
This 460-nucleotide ribosomal RNA is filed under the name uncultured bacterium. Its description in RNAcentral is "partial 16S ribosomal RNA". It matches the Rfam family "Bacterial small subunit ribosomal RNA", at positions 338 to 795 of the family's 1533-position model. The record is from RNAcentral.